RNAcentral lists this ribosomal RNA (380 nucleotides) under uncultured eukaryote. RNAcentral describes it as "partial 18S ribosomal RNA". It matches the Rfam family "Eukaryotic small subunit ribosomal RNA", at positions 592 to 976 of the family's 1831-position model. The record is from RNAcentral.
CAAUAGCGUAUAUUAAAGUUGUUGCGGUUAAAAAGCUCGUAGUUGGAUUUCUGUUGGGAACGACCGGUCCGCCCAUUGGGUGUGUAUCUGGCUUGUUCUCGGCAUCUUCUUGGUGAACGUUGCUGCACUUGACUGUGUGGAGCGCUACCCAGGACUUUUACUUUGAGGAAAUUAGAGUGUUUCAAGCAGGCAUAUGCCUUGAAUACAUUAGCAUGGAAUAAUAAGAUAGGACCUCGGUUCUAUUUUGUUGGUUUCUAGAGCUGAGGUAAUGAUUAAUAGGGAUAGUUGGGGGCAUUCGUAUUUAACUGUCAGAAGUGAAAUUCUUGGAUUUGUUAAAGACGGACUACUGCGAAAGCAUUUGCCAAGGAUGUUUUCAUUGA